RNAcentral lists this ribosomal RNA (499 nucleotides) under uncultured bacterium. Its description in RNAcentral is "bacterial SSU rRNA". It matches the Rfam family "Bacterial small subunit ribosomal RNA", at positions 29 to 526 of the family's 1533-position model. The record is from RNAcentral.
AACGAACGCUGGCGGCAGGCUUAACACAUGCAAGUCGAGCGAAGACUUCGGUCUUAGCGGCGGACGGGUGAGUAACACGUAAGGAACCUGCCCCAAGGAUUGGGAUAACUCCGAGAAAUCGGAGCUAAUACCGAAUAGUUCUUCAGACCGCAUGGUCUGAUGAUGAAAGGCGCUCCGGCGUCACCUUGGGAUGGCCUUGCGGUGCAUUAGCUAGUUGGUGGGGUAAUGGCCCACCAAGGCGACGAUGCAUAGCCGACCUGAGAGGGUGAUCGGCCACACUGGGACUGAGACACGGCCCAGACUCCUACGGGAGGCAGCAGUAGGGAAUCUUCCACAAUGGACGAAAGUCUGAUGGAGCAACGCCGCGUGAGUGAUGAAGGUUUUCGGAUCGUAAAACUCUGUUGUAAGGGAAGAACAGGUAUGAGAGGUAAUGCUCAUGCUAUGACGGUACCUUGCGAGAAAGCCACGGCUAACUACGUGCCAGCAGCCGCAGUAACAC